UAGCUCAGUUAGGUAGAGCAUGGUGUUUGCAACACCAGGGUUGUGGGUUCGAUUCCCAC
Molecule: transfer RNA, 59 nt
Filed under: Salmo salar (Atlantic salmon)
Lineage: Eukaryota; Metazoa; Chordata; Actinopteri; Salmoniformes; Salmonidae
Rfam family: tRNA
About the family: Transfer RNA (tRNA) molecules are approximately 80 nucleotides in length. Their secondary structure includes four short double-helical elements and three loops (D, anti-codon, and T loops).
Source: Rfam by way of RNAcentral